RNAcentral lists this long non-coding RNA (957 nucleotides) under Panax ginseng (ginseng). RNAcentral describes it as "long non-coding RNA (PGIN_LNC008380)". Lineage: Eukaryota; Viridiplantae; Streptophyta; Magnoliopsida; Apiales; Araliaceae. The record is from RNAcentral.
UCGGGGAUUCUGAAACAUUGUAACGUUAAGAAAAAGUUGAAUAACAUCUUAAAUAGUAUUGCUUGGUGAUCUGUUGGCCAACGCUGUUUACAAAUGGUGUUUGAAAAACCAAAUUCUAGUUUCUCUCUCUAUAUUAUCUGCUCUCUUUUCCCUCUAAUUUUCUGGAAACCGCUACAUUGGUACUUUAGUUGAGAGUGAUCCAACAAUGGCCUAUCCCAAUUCUAUUGAGGCAAUUUUUGCCCAAUUUACAGAUCAGUUUUGUGCUACCAUGGCCACGGUCGUACAACAUCAAUUGGAGGUUGUGAAAUAAACUCGUCACACUCCUUACACAGAGAAACAUACUGAUAAUCAGGUGAAGAAUCAAGUUCAACCCAAACUUGAUACAGGGCAGCAUCAAUUACAGAUCCGCGUAGCUGAUGAACGAUGGCAGAAGACCAAAACUGAUGGGCCUCACUAUGCUGGUAGUGCCCUAACGACGUUGCAAACUCAAUUUAGCUCUUCAUCAUGUGUGGAUCCAAACACACAAUUCUCUAAGCUCGUACAAACUACAUCGGUAGCUGAUUGAGGUACAAUUCCAACUGUUAGCUACAAGGAUAUAUGGGUUUAGUGAAAAUUUUCUGAUGGGUCGCUUCAUUAAUGGUUUAAAAGAUGAAAUUCAGUGUUAAGUUCUUACUGCCCAACCCUAUAAUUUACAUCAUGCGAUUGGUUUAGCUAAGCUUUUUGAGGAAAAGUUAGUAGUGACAGAAACAACUCAACUCAGUCCCAUACAACACCAUUCCAUCUCAAUUCGUGAGCCUAAACCCAUUCAUACUGCCACUCAAACUACACCAACAAAACCUCUAGAUGUACAGGAGGUUAUCCGCAAAGGGCAAUCCACAAACUCAGCAUUGAGUUGUCCUUGACAUUGGUAUCUUUGUUAUAUCUAAAGGAGAUUUUGUUUGAAGGAAUGGGACUGAU